RNAcentral lists this ribosomal RNA (384 nucleotides) under uncultured bacterium. RNAcentral's name for it is "bacterial SSU rRNA". It matches the Rfam family "Bacterial small subunit ribosomal RNA", at positions 30 to 416 of the family's 1533-position model. The record is from RNAcentral.
AUUGAACGCUGGCGGCAUGCCUUACACAUGCAAGUCGAACGGCAGCGCGGGGCAACCUGGCGGCGAGUGGCGAACGGGUGAGUAAUAUAUCGGAACAUACCCUAGAGUGGGGGAUAACGUAGCGAAAGUUACGCUAAUACCGCAUACGCACUAAGGUGGAAAGUGGGGGAUUCGCAAGAACCUCAUGCUCAUGGAGUGGCCGAUAUCUGAUUAGCUAGUUGGUGAGGUAAAGGCUCACCAAGGCAACGAUCAGUAGCUGGUUUGAGAGAACGACCAGCCACACUGGAACUGAGACACGGUCCAGACUCCUACGGAGGCAGCAGUGGGAAUUUUGGACAAUGGGGGCAACCCUGAUCCAGCAAUGCCGCGUGAGUGAAGAAGGCC